CCUACGGGAGGCAGCAGUGGGGAAUAUUGGACAAUGGGGGCAACCCUGAUCCAGCCAUGCCGCGUGUGUGAAGAAGGCCCUCGGGUUGUAAAGCACUUUCAGUGAGGAAGAACGCCUGGUGGUUAAUACCCAUCAGGAAAGACAUCACUCACAGAAGAAGCACCGGCUAACUCCGUGCCAGCAGCCGCGGUAAUACGGAGGGUGCGAGCGUUAAUCGGAAUUACUGGGCGUAAAGCGCGCGUAGGUGGCUUGAUAAGCCGGUUGUGAAAGCCCCGGGCUCAACCUGGGAACGGCAUCCGGAGCUGUCAAGCUAGAGUGCAGGAGAGGAAGGUAGAAUUCCCGGUGUAGCGGUGAAAUGCGUAGAGAUCGGGAGGAAUACCAGUGGCGAAGGCGGCCUUCUGGACUGACACUGACACUGAGGUGCGAAAGCGUGGGUAGCAAACAGGAUUAGAUACCCCAGUAGUC
This 465-nucleotide ribosomal RNA is filed under the name Vreelandella stevensii. RNAcentral describes it as "partial 16S ribosomal RNA". It matches the Rfam family "Bacterial small subunit ribosomal RNA", at positions 338 to 795 of the family's 1533-position model. The record is from RNAcentral. Lineage: Bacteria; Pseudomonadati; Pseudomonadota; Gammaproteobacteria; Oceanospirillales; Halomonadaceae.